Molecule: non-coding RNA, 26 nt
Filed under: Rattus norvegicus (Norway rat)
Lineage: Eukaryota; Metazoa; Chordata; Mammalia; Rodentia; Muridae
Source: RNAcentral
AUGGUUAAGAAGAAGGUCUGUGUCAU